RNAcentral lists this ribosomal RNA (253 nucleotides) under uncultured bacterium. RNAcentral's name for it is "partial 16S ribosomal RNA". It matches the Rfam family "Bacterial small subunit ribosomal RNA", at positions 524 to 776 of the family's 1533-position model. The record is from RNAcentral.
UACGUAGGGCGCAAGCGUUAUCCGGAAUUAUUGGGCGUAAAGAGCUCGUAGGCGGUUUGUCGCGUCUGCCGUGAAAGUCCGGGGCUCAACUCCGGUAUCUGCGGUGGGUACGGGCAGACUAGAGUGAUGUAGGGGAGACUGGAAUUCCUGGUGUAGCGGUGAAAUGCGCGAUAUCAGGAGGAACACCGAUGGCGAAGGCAGGUCUCUGGGCAUUAACUGACGCUGGAGGAGCGAAAGCUGGGGAGCGAACAGG